Glycine soja is the source of this 1337-nucleotide RNA transcript. RefSeq lists it as uncharacterized. Lineage: Eukaryota; Viridiplantae; Streptophyta; Magnoliopsida; Fabales; Fabaceae. The record is from RefSeq and is a predicted model, not a curated record. The transcript is spliced from 6 exons.
AGAACAUGUUUCGUGGUUGACUAAGAGUGGUGCAGAACAAGAUAGAUACCAAACCAUAAUGUUGCUGCAACAUUCUAUGUUCUGUGCCAUUCCUCCCUCUCACUUCACCCCACCACUCAAACAAAGGAACCCAUCUCUUCACCGUCUUCCUUCUCCUAGAAAGCCCAAAGCCUCCACCCUAAGAAUUUCCUCUCUUGGCGCUGGUUUCUUCGAUGACAUCGUCCAAAUUGCUCAUAACAAGGUUCUGAUUGCAGCUGGUGUCUCUGUGGCGAUUGGUCAGCUUUCUAAGCCAUUCACUUCUGUUUUUCUGUAUGGCAAAGGGUUUGAUAUCAGAGCAGUUGUUCAAGCUGGAGGGUUCCCUUCAUCACACUCUUCUGCAACAGUGGCUAGUGCAACAUUAUUUGGCCUUGAGAGAGGCUUCUCCGAUCCUAUUUUUGGUCUUGCAGUUGUGUAUGCCGGUCUCAUUAUGUAUGAUGCUCAGGUUGUUAUUAGGAUUUGCAACAGAACAAGGCAAUGGUAAUGCCUGUAUGCAGUCAGGGAAUUGCUAUUGAAGGAAACUAGUUGCAUCAUUAAUCAGGCUUAUAUCAAAAGAAAGCAAGGGUACCUUUCUUUUCAAGAUCUUCUCCGUUGGCCAAGCCAUUGAUGCACAGAGGCAUCGUAUAAUUUUGGCAAGUUUGCUCUGUACAUGGGUGUAAGAAGAGAAGUAGGGAUUCAUGCCAAGACAUUGAACAAAAUACUGCUCCAAAUGCAAGCCAACUCUUUACAUUCCAAAGAUAGAGAUAAUUUGAUUAACUCUCAACCAGGACUAUCAAAACCUCUAAAAGUUGGUCUUGAUAAGUCCCUUUUGUCCCAAGAAGCCACUUCUUUGGAACCACAAGAAACAAAUAGAGGUCUAUUGGUUAAAUCAGGAAGCAAAAUAAGGCAAACAGAUGCAGAUGAAAUCUCAUCAAAGUUGGCCAUUGAUGGUAUACCCCAACUAAAAGAAUCUAUUGGUCAUACAGAGAUUGAAGUCAUAGCUGGUGCUUUACUAGGCUUUUUGGUGGCUUUGGCUGUGUAUAAUUUCAAGUAAAAUCUUGCUUUUUGAUGAAUAAUUUCAUAGCAUAUCUUACAACAAGUAGAUUAUUAAAUUGAAAAUCAAGCUGAGUUGGAAAUUAAAAGGCCAAGUUGACAACAGGUUUAGGUUAUCAUUUAGCAAAACAUUUAAGGUUUGUAUAUGACCUAACAGAACAGGACAUUAGUUAAAGAUGAAAACCCAUCCAAACAGGGGGUUACACACGUACUUCUCUUUUCCUAUGUAUUGCGGUGCCUUAUAUAAAAUUUAUCAAUUAUUGAUUUUA